Molecule: ribosomal RNA, 481 nt
Filed under: uncultured bacterium
Lineage: Bacteria
Description: partial 16S ribosomal RNA
Rfam family: Bacterial small subunit ribosomal RNA
Source: RNAcentral
GAUGAACGCUGGCGGCGUGCCUGACACAUGCAAGUCGAGCGAAGCACUUACUUUAGAUUUCUUCGGAAUGACGAAGUUUGUGACUGAGCGGCGGACGGGUGAGUAACGCGUGGGCAACCUGCCCUGUACAGGGGGAUAACAGUUAGAAAUGACUGCUAAUACCGCAUAAGCCCACAGCUUCGCAUGAAGCAGUGGGAAAAACUCCGGUGGUACAGGAUGGGCCCGCGUCUGAUUAGCUAGUUGGUAAGGUAACGGCUUACCAAGGCGACGAUCAGUAGCCGACCUGAGAGGGUGACCGGCCACAUUGGGACUGAGACACGGCCCAAACUCCUACGGGAGGCAGCAGUGGGGAAUAUUGCACAAUGGGGGAAACCCUGAUGCAGCGACGCCGCGUGAGCGAUGAAGUAUUUCGGUAUGUAAAGCUCUAUCAGCAGGGAAGAAAGUGACGGUACCUGACGAAGAAGCCCCGGCUAACUACGUG